Molecule: long non-coding RNA, 994 nt
Filed under: Monodelphis domestica (gray short-tailed opossum)
Lineage: Eukaryota; Metazoa; Chordata; Mammalia; Didelphimorphia; Didelphidae
Description: lncRNA (ENSMODG00000045193.1)
Source: RNAcentral
AGGCUUCAGACUGCAACCAAAGCUCAUCAUAGGCAUUCUGGAUUCCCUCCACCUUUCGGCUCAAUUCUUGAACUUUCAGGUUGCUAUUCACCAAGGCGGCCUCUUGCUCAAAACGAUCCAGGGCAUUUUUCCGGCCAACCUCUGCUGCCUCUAACUUUUCUUCCAGCUGCUGGAUCUCCAGCUGUUUGUUCUGAAGCACUUUGCCCCUCUCCAUGGACAGCUGCAGCAACUCCUCUUUCUCUUUGGUCACUUUUUCCAGACGGUUGCUCAUGUCGGAACUCAAGCCGGAGAGGGCUUGCUGUUGCUGUAGGUCCAAGAGCUCCUUCUCGACCCGACAGCGUUCUAGUGUUUCAUCAGCCCUGCGCUUCAGGAUGCAGAUGAGCUGAGACUGUUCCUGAAGGCGUGAGCGGAGCAUCGCCUUUUCAUUUUUUUCCUCACUGGACAGACCGCGGAGGUUCUCCAAGGCUUCUUUCAAACCUUCCAGUUCCUUGCACUCCAUAUCGUCAUCGUCGUCGUCGUCGUCGUCAUCGUCAUCAUCAUCACCAUCCUCAUCCAGACUUUCUAUUGUAUCUUCUAUCUCUGUAACUUUGGAGGAUGAAGUAGAAGAACUCAUCCUGGGAGUUUUCUCUCUCUGAGGCAUAAGAAUGCUAAGUAUCUCCCUAGACCUGAGCUUGUCUCAGUCUCUCUCCAGCUGUAAAUUUCAAAUGCUGUUUAGGGUUGCUAUGGAUGCUUCUAUACUUUCAAACUGUUUUAUUAUUCCAUAGGCAGCACUGUGAUUGGUUGAAAAGCCUCAGAAUGCUGUGAUGUAAUGAAGGAAGGCCUAGACAGUACAAAGACAACUGAAGUCAGUUGGCCCUUGGCUUUUUCUGCAGUUAGUAGUAUGCUGCUCUGUCUGCUAUCCACUCAUCAGCUCAAUUACCAGGCUAACUUAGAGAAAGAAAGCUGACAGCCUAGUUUCUAACCAGAAAUAAACAAAGCAAACUGGAUGUAAUCA